AACAUGGCAGACGACGCCGUAAGGAGUGUUUUGCAUUCAAUUGGUUUACAUUCACUGUAUCAAAAUUUUAUGAGUCAAAAAAUAGAUUCUAUUGAGAUUUGUAAAUCGUUAGAAGAUAACCAGUUAACAAAUUUAGGUCUGGUGACCAUUGGUGAAAGAAUUAAGUUUAAAAAUGCAGUGCAGCAUUGGCAAUCCAUGCCCAUCAUGCCCAUGGCUGAGAGCGAUACGGCCGCAUCUGGAUCUAGGAUCUCGACAGGGAUUUUAGAGUUAGUUGCAAUAAGACCAGCAAGAAGUAAACAUCAGUUGCAAUAAGACCAGCAAGAAGUAAAUAUCAGUUGCAAUAAGACCAGCAAGAAGUAAACAUCAGUUGCAUUUAGACCAGCAAUAAGGAAAGAACUUAAUAUUAAGUGUUAAAGUAAAAAUAGCUUAUUUUGGAAUAUUAUGAAACUUGUGGUUAAAUAGAAAAUAAAAUAUGAUCAAGAAUA
Molecule: long non-coding RNA, 485 nt
Organism: Dreissena polymorpha
Lineage: Eukaryota; Metazoa; Mollusca; Bivalvia; Myida; Dreissenidae
Exons: 2
Source: RefSeq, a predicted model, not a curated record